Molecule: long non-coding RNA, 209 nt
Filed under: Gossypium barbadense (sea-island cotton)
Lineage: Eukaryota; Viridiplantae; Streptophyta; Magnoliopsida; Malvales; Malvaceae
Description: long non-coding RNA (GBAR_LNC017797)
Source: RNAcentral
AAAUUUUCGAGUUAAUCGAGUUUUCGAAUCUCAUUUUAUCAUCCUAACUUUAUUUGAAGUUUUCUCGAAUCGAGUCGAGUGAGAUGGAAUUCAAAUCGAAUCGAAUAUAUUUGUUCGAGUUAAAUUUUAAAAAAUAAUUUUGGGUCCUUGUAACCAUUGCCACCCAUCGUAAUAAAAUUUAUCCACCUUAAUCAAAAUUUUUAUUAACU